CAAACAAGAAACAAAACAUGGUCUGCAAACUUUGUUAACGACAUACAAAAGAUAAUUUCAAAAGCACAAGAAAACGUCUAACCCAUACCACAGAGGUCCCACUUAUUACACAACAAAGAUCCUCAAACAUGGAAAAAUUAGCCAUCAAAAUAGCUACACAAACCAAACAGUCUCAUCAACAUUACCUAUGGAGAGAAGCAGAAAGGUAAAGCAGCUCAGUAAGUGUAGUUCUUGACAUGGAGGCUCUCAGAUGCACCUUCGCCCUGAGUAGAGUCUCCCUUGUAAGUUCCGAGGGUCGCCUCAGAGUUAGCCUUGCACCUUGCCAACAAGGCAGCCCUUGCCUUCUCCACAUUCUCCACUUUACCAACCCAGGCCUUCAGAGUGCUCUGCUGCAGAGCACGUCCGAAAGAAAAUGACAGCGACCACGGCUUCUUCGUGUCCAGCUUGUUCAUGGCAUUCAGGUUCAGGGUGGCCUCCUCCUCGCUCUGCCCACCAGACAGGAACACAAUAGCAGGCACCGCUGGCGGGACAGUGCGCUGGAGAGUGCGUACGGUGUAUUUAGCGAUCACCUCAGGUGCAACCUUCGGGGCAUCUGAGCCUGGUGUCACCAUGUUUGGCUUCAGCAGUGUCCCUUCCAAGAGGACGUUGUUGUCGUUCAGGGCCUUGUAGCACGCAGCAAGCACCCGCUCAGUCACAUAAGCACAUCGAUCAAUGUCAUGAGACCCAUCAACAAGAAUCUCAGGCUCGACAAUCGGGACCAAGCCAUUCUCCUGGCAG
This 777-nucleotide unclassified non-coding RNA is filed under the name Hevea brasiliensis (rubber tree). The record is from RNAcentral. Lineage: Eukaryota; Viridiplantae; Streptophyta; Magnoliopsida; Malpighiales; Euphorbiaceae.